Molecule: ribosomal RNA, 516 nt
Filed under: uncultured bacterium
Lineage: Bacteria
Description: partial 16S ribosomal RNA
Rfam family: Bacterial small subunit ribosomal RNA
Source: RNAcentral
GACGAACGCUGGCGGCAUGCCUAAUACAUGCAAGUCGAGCGGAGUUGAUGAGAAGCUUGCUUCUCUGAUGCUUAGCGGCGGACGGGUGAGUAACACGUAGGCAACCUGCCCUCAAGCUUGGGACAACUACCGGAAACGGUAGCUAAUACCGAAUACUUGUUUUCUUCGCCUGAAGGAAACUGGAAAGACGGAGCAAUCUGUCACUUGGGGAUGGGCCUGCGGCGCAUUAGCUAGUUGGUGAGGUAACGGCUCACCAAGGCGACGAUGCGUAGCCGACCUGAGAGGGUGAUCGGCCACACUGGGACUGAGACACGGCCCAGACUCCUACGGGAGGCAGCAGUAGGGAAUCUUCCGCAAUGGGCGAAAGCCUGACGGAGCAAUGCCGCGUGAGUGAUGAAGGUUUUCGGAUCGUAAAGCUCUGUUGCCAGGGAAGAACGCUUGGGAGAGUAACUGCUCCCAAGGUGACGGUACCUGAGAAGAAAGCCCCGGCUAACUACGUGCCAGCCGCCGCGGUAA